CGAGCGAGUCUGCCUUGAAGAUCGGAGUGCUUGCACUCUGUGAAACAAGAUACAGGCUAGCGGCGGACGGGUGAGUAACACGUGGGUAACCUGCCCAAGAGAUCGGGAUAACACCUGGAAACAGAUGCUAAUACCGGAUAACAACAGAUGAUGCCUAUCAACUGUUUAAAAGAUGGUUCUGCUAUCACUCUUGGAUGGACCUGCGGUGCAUUAGCUAGUUGGUAGGGUAACGGCCUACCAAGGCGAUGAUGCAUAGCCGAGUUGAGAGACUGAUCGGCCACAUUGGGACUGAGACACGGCCCAAACUCCUACGGGAGGCAGCAGUAGGGAAUCUUCCACAAUGGACGCAAGUCUGAUGGAGCAACGCCGCGUGAGUGAAGAAGGGUUUCGGCUCGUAAAGCUCUGUUGUUGGUGAAGAAGGACAGGGGUAGUAACUGACCUUUGUUUGACGGUAAUCAAUUAGAAAGUCACGGCUAACUACGUGCCAGCAGCCGCGGUAAUACGUAGGUGGCAAGCGUUGUCCGGAUUUAUUGGGCGUAAAGCGAGUGCAGGCGGCUCGAUAAGUCUGAUGUGAAAGCCUUCGGCUCAACCGGAGAAUUGCAUCAGAAACUGUCGAGCUUGAGUACAGAAGAGGAGAGUGGAACUCCAUGUGUAGCGGUGAAAUGCGUAGAUAUAUGGAAGAACACCGGUGGCGAAGGCGGCUCUCUGGUCUGUUACUGACGCUGAGGCUCGAAAGCAUGGGUAGCGAACAGGAUUAGAUACCCUGGUAGUCCAUGCCGUAAACGAUGAGUGCUAAGUGUUGGGAGGUUUC
Molecule: ribosomal RNA, 811 nt
Filed under: uncultured bacterium
Lineage: Bacteria
Description: bacterial SSU rRNA
Rfam family: Bacterial small subunit ribosomal RNA
Source: RNAcentral